This 311-nucleotide ribosomal RNA is filed under the name uncultured bacterium. RNAcentral's name for it is "bacterial SSU rRNA". It matches the Rfam family "Bacterial small subunit ribosomal RNA", at positions 28 to 334 of the family's 1533-position model. The record is from RNAcentral.
GACGAACGCUGGCGGCGCGCCUAACACAUGCAAGUCGAACGAGAGAGAGGAAGCUUGCUUCCUUAAUCGAGUGGCGAACGGGUGAGUAACGCGUGAGGAACCUGCCUCAAAGAGGGGGACAACAGUUGGAAACGACUGCUAAUACCGCAUAAGCCCACAGCUCGGCAUCGAGCAGAGGGAGAAGGAGUGAUUCGCUUUGAGAUGGCCUCGCGUCCGAUUAGCUAGUUGGUGAGGUAACGGCCCACCAAGGCGACGAUCGGUAGCCGGACUGAGAGGUUGAACGGCCACAUUGGGACUGAGACACGGCCCAG